UACAGAGGGUGCGAGCGUUAAUCGGAAUUACUGGGCGUAAAGCGUGCGUAGACGGUUGUUUAAGUCGGGUGUGAAAGCCCCGGGCUCAACCUGGGAAUUGCAUUCGAGACUGAAUAGCUAGGGUACGGUAGAGGGAAGUGGAAUUUCCGGUGUAGCGGUGAAAUGCGUAGAUAUCGGAAGGAACAUCAGUGGCGAAAGCGACUUCCUGGACCAGUACCGACGUUCAGGCACGAAAGCGUGGGGAGCAAACAGG
Molecule: ribosomal RNA, 253 nt
Filed under: uncultured bacterium
Lineage: Bacteria
Description: partial 16S ribosomal RNA
Rfam family: Bacterial small subunit ribosomal RNA
Source: RNAcentral